This 374-nucleotide ribosomal RNA is filed under the name uncultured organism. Its description in RNAcentral is "partial 16S ribosomal RNA". It matches the Rfam family "Bacterial small subunit ribosomal RNA", at positions 527 to 896 of the family's 1533-position model. The record is from RNAcentral.
GUAGGUGGCAAGCGUUGUCCGGAAUUAUUGGGCGUAAAGCGCGCGCAGGCGGUUCGUUUAAGUCUGAUGUGAAAGCCCACGGGCUCAACCGUGGAGGGUCAUUGGAAACUGGAGAACUUGUGUACAGAAGAGGAAAGCGGAAUUCCACGUGUAGCGGUGAAAUGCGUAGAGAUGUGGAGGAACACCAGUGGCGAAGGCGGCUUUCUGGUCUGUAACUGACGCUGAGGCGCGAAAGCGUGGGGAGCAAACAGGAUUAGAUACCCUGGUAGUCCACGCCGUAAACGAUGAGUGCUAAGUGUUAGGGGGUUUCCGCCCCUUAGUGCUGCAGCUAACGCAUUAAGCACUCCGCCUGGGGAGUACGGCCGCAAAGGCUG